This 251-nucleotide ribosomal RNA is filed under the name uncultured bacterium. RNAcentral's name for it is "partial 16S ribosomal RNA". It matches the Rfam family "Bacterial small subunit ribosomal RNA", at positions 526 to 776 of the family's 1533-position model. The record is from RNAcentral.
CGUAGGGUGCGAGCGUUAAUCGGAAUUACUGGGCGUAAAGCGUGCGCAGGCGGCGCGUUAAGCCAGGUGUGAAAGCCCCGAGCUUAACUUGGGAAUUGCGCUUGUGACUGGCGUGCUGGAGUGUGGCAGAGGGAGGUGGAAUUCCACGUGUAGCAGUGAAAUGCGUAGAGAUGUGGAGGAACACCGAUGGCGAAGGCAGCCUCCUGGGCCAGCACUGACGCUCAUGCACGAAAGCGUGGGGAGCAAACAGG